AUUGAACGCUGGCGGCAGGCUUAACACAUGCAAGUCGAGCGGGGUGAUGGUGCUUGCACUAUCACUUAGCGGCGGACGGGUGAGUAAUGCUUAGGAAUCUGCCUAUUAGUGGGGGACAACAUCUCGAAAGGGAUGCUAAUACCGCAUACGUCCUACGGGAGAAAGCAGGGGAUCACUUGUGACAUUGCGCUAAUAGAUGAGCCUAAGUCGGAUUAGCUAGCUGGUGGGGUAAAGGCCUACCAAGGCGACGAUCUGUAGCGGGUCUGAGAGGAUGAGCCGGCACACGGGGACUGGGAAACGGGCCAGACUCCUACGGGAGGCAGCAGUGGGGAAGAGUGGACAAGGGGGGGAACCCUGAUCUAGCCAUGCCGCGUGGGUGAAGAAGGCCUUAUGGUUGUAAAGCACUUUAAGCGAGGAGGGGGCUCGUUUGGUUAAUACCCAAGAUGAGUGGACGUUACUCGCAGAAUAAGCACCGGCUAACUCUGUGCCAGCCGCCGCCGUAA
This 503-nucleotide ribosomal RNA is filed under the name uncultured bacterium. RNAcentral describes it as "partial 16S ribosomal RNA". It matches the Rfam family "Bacterial small subunit ribosomal RNA", at positions 30 to 523 of the family's 1533-position model. The record is from RNAcentral.